Molecule: ribosomal RNA, 699 nt
Filed under: Lichtheimia ramosa
Lineage: Eukaryota; Fungi; Mucoromycota; Mucoromycetes; Mucorales; Lichtheimiaceae
Description: partial large subunit ribosomal RNA
Rfam family: Eukaryotic large subunit ribosomal RNA
Source: RNAcentral
AUACCUGAUUCCCUAGUACGGCGAGUGAAGAGGGAAAGCUCAAAGUUGGAACCUGGCUGCCCUAGGCAGUCCGGAUUGUAAACUAAAGAGCGUGAUUCCAGGCAAGCCGGUUGACCAAGUCCUUUGGAAUGAGGCGCCACUGAGGGUGAGAGCCCCGUAAGUCGACUGAGCAUUUGUCUUUUGUGCUUCGCGUUCAAAGAGUCAGGUUGUUUGGGAAUGCAGCCUAAAGCUGGUGGUAAAUCCCACCUAAAGCUAAAUACAGGCGAGAGACCGAUAGCGAACAAGUACCGUGAGGGAAAGAUGAAAAGAACUUUGAAAAGAGAGUUAAACAGUAUGUGAAAUUGCCAAGAGGGAAGCAUUUGGAGUUAGAUUGACUAGGAGUUAAUCAGCUUGGUCUUUGGACUGGGUGUACUUGACUUCUUACAGUCUGCCAAUAGCAGUUAGUCCUAGUGGAAAAAACCAGAGGGAAGGUAGUCCUUCGGGAUGUUUAUAGACCUUUGGAAAAUACACUGGGAUUGACUGAGGAAUGCAGUAGAUGCCACUAAGGCUUCGUCUAGUGGGUGCUAGGCAAAGGUACUUGGUAUUUUCAGCUUGCUGAUGUGCUAGGUUACUCGAGUCUAGUCGCCUACUAGAACUGUAAUCUACUUUGGUUAUUGGCUUAAUGACUCUAAAUGGCCCGUCUUGAACACGGGAACAAAA